UAAAGCUGUCAGCAGGGGGAAUAACACAGGGCUGUGAAUGAGUCCUGUCACUGUGAUCAGGCUCCUCCUUCUAAUCCACCAACUUAGUGUUGAUGAAGACUAAACAGAGAGAUCACAGCUUCUUUAUACUUGCUGUAGCUCACAGUUACUCUACACUGCAGAUAUGACGCCUCUGUUCAUCUCAGUGCUGCUGGCUGCUAUGUGCCUCGAAUGCAGAGCACAAAAAGACAACGUGCUGCAAGCAAAAGGAGAAGAGACUGCUGCUGCAGGAGGCACAGUAACACUUCACUGUCUCUAUAACAGCAGCAGUUUAACAGGCACUUCCCUCUUCUGGUACAAACAGGAUGGAAACAACAGCCCCACAUUCAUCCUGAGUCGUGUUAGCAGGGAUGAUGGAAACACAGAAGACGAGUUCAAGGAGAGAUUUUCCUCCACACUGGAUUCCAGCAUCAGAUCAGUUCCUCUGAAGAUCCAGAAGCUUCAGCUGUCUGACUCUGCUGUGUACUACUGUGCUCUGCAGCCCACAGUGACAGGAAACACCAAAACUCUGUACAAAAACCUUUGGAGCAAAGACAACAGAAUACUCCACAACAUCCACUAGAGGGAGC
Non-coding RNA from Oreochromis aureus, 608 nucleotides. The record is from the annotation of a RefSeq genome assembly. Lineage: Eukaryota; Metazoa; Chordata; Actinopteri; Cichliformes; Cichlidae.